GACGAACGCUGGCGGCGUGCUUAAUACAUGCAAGUCGAACGGAAAGGCCCUGCUCUUGCGGGGUGCUCGAGUGGCGAACGGGUGAGUAACACGCGAGUAACCUGCCCUUGUCUUUGGGAUAACUUCUGGAAACUGGGGCUAAUAUCGGAUAGGAGCUCCUGCUGCAUGGUGGUGGUUGGAAAGAUUCGGCGGUGGGGGCUGGUCUCGCUGCUUAUCAGCUUGUUGGGGGAGUAGUGGCUUACGAAGGCUAUGACGGGUAGCCGGCCUGAGAGGGUGAACGGCCACAAUGGGACUGAGGUACGCACCAGAAGCCUACGGGAGGCAGCAGUAGGGAAUAUUGCGCAGUAGGGGGAAGCCUGAUGCAGAAACGCUGCGUGCGGGAUGACCGCUUUCGAGUUGUAAACCGCUUUCGCAUGUGACAAGGCGUGAGUGACGGUAAUGGGUAAGGAAGCAACGGCUAACUACGUG
This 468-nucleotide ribosomal RNA is filed under the name uncultured bacterium. RNAcentral's name for it is "partial 16S ribosomal RNA". It matches the Rfam family "Bacterial small subunit ribosomal RNA", at positions 28 to 507 of the family's 1533-position model. The record is from RNAcentral.